RNAcentral lists this ribosomal RNA (497 nucleotides) under uncultured bacterium. Its description in RNAcentral is "partial 16S ribosomal RNA". It matches the Rfam family "Bacterial small subunit ribosomal RNA", at positions 28 to 507 of the family's 1533-position model. The record is from RNAcentral.
GAUGAACGCUGGCGGCGUGCCUAAUACAUGCAAGUCGAGCGAACGGACGAGAAGCUUGCUUCUCUGAUGUUAUCGGCGGACGGGUGAGUAACACGUGGAUAACCUACCUAUAAGACUGGGAUAACUUCGGGAAACCGUAGCUAAUACCGGAUAAUAUUUUGAACCGCAUGGUUCAAAAGUGAAAGACGGUCUUGCUGUCACUUAUAGAUGGAUCCGCGCUGCAUUAGCUAGUUGGUAAGGUAACGGCUUACCAAGGCAACGAUGCAUAGCCGACCUGAGAGGGUGAUCGGCCACACUGGAACUGAGACACGGUCCAGACUCCUACGGGAGGCAGCAGUAGGGAAUCUUCCGCAAUGGGCGAGAGCCUGACGGAGCAACGCCGCGUGAGUGAUGAAGGUCUUCGGAUCGUAAAACUCUGUUAUUAGGGAAGAACAUAUGUGUAAGUAACUGUGCACAUCCUGACGGUACCUAAUCAGAAAGCCACGGCUAACUACGUG